This 1576-nucleotide unclassified non-coding RNA is filed under the name Nostoc sp. HA6929-AV1. RNAcentral's name for it is "bacterial SSU rRNA". The record is from RNAcentral. Lineage: Bacteria; Bacillati; Cyanobacteriota; Cyanophyceae; Nostocales; Nostocaceae.
GGGGAAUUUUCCGCAAUGGGCGAAAGCCUGACGGAGCAAUACCGCGUGAGGGAGGAAGGCUCUUGGGUCGUAAACCUCUUUUCUCAGGGAAGAACACAAUGACGGUACCUGAGGAAUAAGCAUCGGCUAACUCCGUGCCAGCAGCCGCGGUAAUACGGAGGAUGCAAGCGUUAUCCGGAAUGAUUGGGCGUAAAGCGUCCGCAGGUGGCAAUGUAAGUCUGCUGUUAAAGAGUCUAGCUCAACUAGAUAAGAGCAGUGGAAACUACAUAGCUAGAGUACGUUCGGGGCAGAGGGAAUUCCUGGUGUAGCGGUGAAAUGCGUAGAGAUCAGGAAGAACACCGGUGGCGAAGGCGCUCUGCUAGGCCGUAACUGACACUGAGGGACGAAAGCUAGGGGAGCGAAUGGGAUUAGAUACCCCAGUAGUCCUAGCCGUAAACGAUGGAUACUAGGCGUGGCUUGUAUCGACCCGAGCCGUGCCGUAGCUAACGCGUUAAGUAUCCCGCCUGGGGAGUACGCCGGCAACGGUGAAACUCAAAGGAAUUGACGGGGGCCCGCACAAGCGGUGGAGUAUGUGGUUUAAUUCGAUGCAACGCGAAGAACCUUACCAAGGCUUGACAUGUCGCGAAUCUUCUUGAAAGGGAAGAGUGCCUUCGGGAGCGCGAACACAGGUGGUGCAUGGCUGUCGUCAGCUCGUGUCGUGAGAUGUUGGGUUAAGUCCCGCAACGAGCGCAACCCUCGUUUUUAGUUGCCAGCAUUAAGUUGGGCACUCUAGAGAGACUGCCGGUGACAAACCGGAGGAAGGUGGGGAUGACGUCAAGUCAGCAUGCCCCUUACGCCUUGGGCUACACUCGUACUACAAUGCUCCGGACAGAGGGCAGCAAGCAUGCGAAUGCAAGCAAAUCCCGUAAACCGGAGCUCAGUUCAGAUCGCAGGCUGCAACUCGCCUGCGUGAAGGAGGAAUCGCUAGUAAUUGCAGGUCAGCAUACUGCAGUGAAUUCGUUCCCGGGCCUUGUACACACCGCCCGUCACACCAUGGAAGCUGGUAGUGCCCGAAGUCAUUACUCCAACCAUUCGUGGAGGAGGAUGCCUAAGGCAGGACUGGUGACUGGGGUGAAGUCGUAACAAGGUAGCCGUACCGGAAGGUGUGGCUGGAUCACCUCCUUUUUAGGGAGACCUACACCCCUUACAUAUCGAAAAACAUACAGUUAARUAGAUAGUAAGUUGGUCAUUCCUUAGGUCGGUCGAGAAUUGGUAUAAAGCUUUCAAAGUAUUAAUGGUUCAGGAUAUCAAGCAAAAAGAUACAUUGAGAGUUCAGCAACAUGACUUAAAUAAAGUCAGACUGCUGAGUUGAAUCUCAGCCAGAACCUUGAAAACUGCAUAGAAACGCGAAAUUAGCAGGCAGACACAGACAUUGAGAGUAAUGAAUGCCAAAUGCUGAGUACUGAGUAAAAUCAGUGCGAAGUCAGGAGGUAAUCAGAACUAACUAUUUGUUGUAGUGAAUGCAAAAUGUGAAACACCAAAUGAAUUGAGUGGUCAAGCUAAUAAGGGCUAACGGUGGAUACCUAGGCACACAGAG